RNAcentral lists this transfer RNA (127 nucleotides) under Neofusicoccum parvum UCRNP2. RNAcentral describes it as "tRNA-Ala (AGC) (tRNA-Ala-AGC-2-1)". The record is from RNAcentral. Lineage: Eukaryota; Fungi; Ascomycota; Dothideomycetes; Botryosphaeriales; Botryosphaeriaceae.
GGGUCUGUGGUUUAGUGGUAUAAUACUCCCUUAGCAUGGGAGUGGUCCGGGGUUCGGCAAGUUCUCCACAGUUCGAAAACAGUCCUCUGCAUGAUUCUAACAAUAUAAUAGAUUCCCCGCGGAUCCA